RNAcentral lists this ribosomal RNA (1028 nucleotides) under uncultured Chloroflexota bacterium. RNAcentral describes it as "bacterial SSU rRNA". It matches the Rfam family "Bacterial small subunit ribosomal RNA", at positions 1 to 1034 of the family's 1533-position model. Lineage: Bacteria; Bacillati; Chloroflexota. The record is from RNAcentral.
GUGGCGCACGGCUGAGGAUGGGCUUGCGUCCUAUCAGGUAGUUGGUGGGGUAACGGCCCACCAAGCCGACGACGGGUAGCUGGCCUGCGAGGGGCCGUCAAGGGCGAAUUCGCCCUUGUGGCGCACGGCUGAGGAACACGUGGGUGACCUGCCCCAGAGUGGGGGAUACCCCGUCGAAAGACGGAUAAUCCCGCAUACGCUCUACGGAGGAAAGCCCCUACGGGCGCUCUGGGAGGGGCCUGCGGCAUCAGGUUGUUGGUGUGGUAACGGCGCACCAAGCCACUGACGGGUACCCGGUCUGAGAGGACGGCCGGGCAGAGCUGGGACUGCGACACGGCCCAGACUCCUACGGGAGGAGCAGCAAGGAAUUUUCCCAAAUGGGCGCAAGCCUGGAGGGGAGCAACGCCGCGUGGAGGACGACGGCCUUCGGGUUGUAAACUCCUUUCGGGUGGGACGACCGCGACGGUACCACCAGAAGCAGCCCCGGCUAACUCUGUGCCAGCAGCCGCGGUAAGACAGAGGGGGCAAGCGUUGUCCGGAGUUACUGGGCGUAAAGGGCGCGGAGGCGGUCUGCGGCGUCCGCGCUGAAAGCGCCCCGCUUAACGGGGCGACGGCGUGCCGAUACGCGCAGUCUUGAGGCGAGCAGAGGGUGGUGGAAUUCCGGGUGGAGCGGUGAAAUGCGUAGAGAUCCGGAGGAACGCCAGUGGGGAAGCCGGCCACCUGGGCUCGUCCUGACGCUGCGGCGCGACAGCGUGGGGAGCAAACCGGAUUAGAUACCCGGGUAGUCCACGCCGUAAACGAUGCCAGCUCGGCGUGUGGCGCACGGUUGUGCGCUGCGUGCCUUAGCUCACGCGAUAAGCUGGCCGCCUGGGGACUACGAGCGCAAGCUUAAAACUCAAAGGAAUUGACGGGGGCCCGCACAAGCAGCGGAGCGUGUGGUUUAAUUCGACGCAACACGAAGAACCUUACCUGGGCUUGACAUGACGCUGCACGCCGUCGAAAGACGGCGCGCCUGCGAGGGCCCGUCA